Molecule: long non-coding RNA, 287 nt
Filed under: Actinidia chinensis (golden kiwifruit)
Lineage: Eukaryota; Viridiplantae; Streptophyta; Magnoliopsida; Ericales; Actinidiaceae
Description: long non-coding RNA (ACHI_LNC007807)
Source: RNAcentral
CUUUUGAAGAUCUUCAUGCCUUAUUGCAUUCUGAAGAAUUGUAAGAGGCAUCAAAUUCUGUAAGCCCUAUGGCUAUGGCUGCCAAUUCUAAGCCACAACGUACUGGAUCUAGUCAACAGUCCUCCACAAAUUUUAAUCACGCAAGAGGACGACAUUUCAACAACAGAGAGAAGCAUGGUAGUUUUCUUCUCAACUUAAUUUUUCAAACAAUUUUCAGAACUUUCAGACCUCUCCUGCUUCUCAAUAUCAAUCUCGUCCAUCUUCUUCUGGCCAACAUUUCAACAAUA